This 594-nucleotide ribosomal RNA is filed under the name Salmonella enterica subsp. enterica serovar Newport. Its description in RNAcentral is "partial 23S ribosomal RNA". It matches the Rfam family "Bacterial large subunit ribosomal RNA", at positions 911 to 1507 of the family's 2925-position model. The record is from RNAcentral. Lineage: Bacteria; Pseudomonadati; Pseudomonadota; Gammaproteobacteria; Enterobacterales; Enterobacteriaceae.
UGUUUCGGCUAGGGGGCCAUCCCGGCUUACCAACCCGAUGCAAACUGCGAAUACCGGAGAAUGUUAUCACGGGAGACACACGGCGGGUGCUAACGUCCGUCGUGAAGAGGGAAACAACCCAGACCGCCAGCUAAGGUCCCAAAGUCAUGGUUAAGUGGGAAACGAUGUGGGAAGGCCCAGACAGCCAGGAUGUUGGCUUAGAAGCAGCCAUCAUUUAAAGAAAGCGUAAUAGCUCACUGGUCGAGUCGGCCUGCGCGGAAGAUGUAACGGGGCUAAACCAUGCACCGAAGCUGCGGCAGCGACACUGUGUGUUGUUGGGUAGGGGAGCGUUCUGUAAGCCUGUGAAGGUGGCCUGUGAGGGUUGCUGGAGGUAUCAGAAGUGCGAAUGCUGACAUAAGUAACGAUAAAGCGGGUGAAAAGCCCGCUCGCCGGAAGACCAAGGGUUCCUGUCCAACGUUAAUCGGGGCAGGGUGAGUCGACCCCUAAGGCGAGGCCGAAAGGCGUAGUCGAUGGGAAACGGGUUAAUAUUCCCGUACUUGGUGUUACUGCGAAGGGGGGACGGAGAAGGCUAUGUUGGCCGGGCGACGGUUGUCC